GGGGAAUAUUGGACAAUGGACCGAGAGUCUGAUCCAGCAAUUCUGUGUGCACGAUGAAGUUUUUCGGAAUGUAAAGUGCUUUCAGUUGGGAAGAAAGAAAUGACGGUACCAACAGAAGAAGUGACGGCUAAAUACGUGCCAGCAGCCGCGGUAAUACGUAUGUCACGAGCGUUAUCCGGAUUUAUUGGGCGUAAAGCGCGUCUAGGUGGUUAUAUAAGUCUGAUGUGAAAAUGCAGGGCUCAACUCUGUAUUGCGUUGGAAACUGUAUAACUAGAGUACUGGAGAGGUAAGCGGAACUACAAGUGUAGAGGUGAAAUUCGUAGAUAUUUGUAGGAAUGCCGAUGGGGAAGCCAGCUUACUGGACAGAUACUGACGCUGAAGCGCGAAAGCGUGGGUAGCAAACAGGAUUAGAUACCCUGGUAGUCCACGCUGUAAACGAUGAUUACUAGGUGUUGGGGGUCGAACCUCAGCGCCCAAGCAAACGCGAUAAGUAAUCCGCCUGGGGAGUACGUACGCAAGUAUG
Molecule: ribosomal RNA, 523 nt
Filed under: uncultured bacterium
Lineage: Bacteria
Description: bacterial SSU rRNA
Rfam family: Bacterial small subunit ribosomal RNA
Source: RNAcentral